CAUACUCUUUAAGAUAUAUAAUAAAAAAAAGUGGUUGCUAUUUAAAAAAAAUAUGCCCCCUUUGAUCAUCAGAAGUACGUCACUAACCACAAAUUCAAAGUACGUAGAUUGGUAGAAAACCUUUUAUAACUUUGGAUACCAUAAAAAGCUUUUUAAAAAAAUUUUUAUUUGAAGAUAUGUUCAGUGUUCCAGAUAAAAUAGUGUACGCUAGUUCUACUAGCAUAAAGUUGAAUGUCAAGAAGGGGAUUAGGUAACUGUGUCACCAAAAACGGAAUUAUUGUGUUAGAAGACUACGUUAGAAAACUUCACCGUGAAAUACGCAUGUUCCCGCCGCAUAAAUUGUGGUCGUUUUCGGUCAAGGACAGAUUACUUAAACGCGCUGAGUAUUUUCGCUGUGAGAGGAUUCAGUUAGUGUGGCGGUUAGUGAACAAAAGGGGAUUAAAUCUGUGGUGCCCGUAGUCGAAAAUACAUUACCCAUGAUUCUAUUUACGAGGUAUAGUGCUGACCAUUUAUUUAUUAUGUCAAAGCAUGAGUUAGAUAUUUAUAGGAGGCAUAGUCAUAAUUUGUGGUUGAUUAAAGUUGUUGUGGUUAAAGAACAAAUUUGGAUCUGUGAUUUCUUAGGAUAUCGGAUAGGAAAAUUUGAAGCCGUUUAUUUUGCAAGUACUUUUAUCGUUUAUGAACAUAUGGACAAUUCGAUUUAUAGGAAAAGUUUCAUUGAUCCAUCAUGACUAUUUAUAAGGUAAAUGGUACAAUAUAUACAAAACUGUAUGGUCGUUUGGCGUUUAAUUUUGCAAGCAAUCACACUCCACAAAUUCAAAGUUUGAAAUCAGGUUUCAGAGAAAUCUAGGAAAGGAGCCAUUUCUUGUAAGUACGUAACUGUAAACUUCUCGCCGUAGGUUAUUUUAUAAAACCGCAUCUUCCAAGGAGAGUGGCUUUCUGUGUCACACAUGUAACAUCUUUUCUCAUUUUGGCUCCCUGUGCACAACUUUUCUGCACUUGUGGCCCUGCUCCUCUAUCUCUCAGCACUUUUUGUACUUUGUUAUCUCCGCCUCUUUGUUUAGUCUACAGGGGGCUGCCCACCCAAACUCGAUGGAACGUGUCUAGUUUUACCGCUGUCAUUUUAUCAGCCUAGAGAUUGAAAUCCAGCAGCAAAUGAAUUCAACUUUCUCAGAGCGGUUAUACAGGAACCCUUAACCCUUAAACAUAUAGACAACCAAUGGGAGCAUUGAUUGUACUUAGCUGUGGGAACACGUCUCGAUAACACACUGGCCAGCAGCGAAAAGGCCACUGAAGAGAACUCCGAAUUACGGUCUCUCAUAUAACAAAGAGGACGGCGAUAUCAAGGGCUAUAUAGACGCAGACUGGGGCAACUCCGUCGACGAUUGUAAAUACCGCUAUUUCAUCUAUGUAUACUUAACCCUCAUAUUUAAGAGGGUUCAAGUUCCGGCUCGACUUUUAGUUUUUAAUUUUAGUUCAAACUCAAAUUUAAUUCAACUGUAAGGACCGGCUUAAGCUUCGGAGACACUACCUACACUUCCGUUGACGUACGAGUGUGUAACAUUGGGCUAAAUUCACCAAUACCUAUGAGUGCAGACGCCCUUGCCGAGAACUGAGCUCGACGUAUAACUUCAUGCAAGGUUUAUGAAUCCGGGAACUGAGUACACUUCUCUGGGUGACGUCCAACUUACAUUAAGAUUAUGCGAACGCGCCCUUUUGAGCCCACAUGGUUGCGAUCCGAAGUUCAGUGCAGUUCCGGCAGUACUUCUUCUAGAAAUGUGAGCCUAUCAAAUGAUCACCGACGAUGCCAGCCCAAACAUUUAAAGAAAAUUGUUGCUGAUGAUGGCCUUCUGUAAUUUCAUGUGGAUUUUUCAGCCCAUAUGUGGGUAUUGCGAAAAUUGAAAGUACCAUCUGAGAGGCUCCACCCCGUAUAUACAACUUACGACGAUGCACACAUUUUUUAGAGUUGGCAACCACGCAAUUUUUAGGAGAGGAAAGCGAUUUGCGCCAUCUGGAGAGCACGAACGUUGGUUACGUUGGGCAUGUUGUCUUGAAUGGCGG
This is a long non-coding RNA of Photinus pyralis (common eastern firefly), 2058 nucleotides long. RefSeq lists it as uncharacterized. The transcript has 5 exons. Lineage: Eukaryota; Metazoa; Arthropoda; Insecta; Coleoptera; Lampyridae. The record is from RefSeq and is a predicted model, not a curated record.